Molecule: ribosomal RNA, 462 nt
Filed under: uncultured bacterium
Lineage: Bacteria
Description: partial 16S ribosomal RNA
Rfam family: Bacterial small subunit ribosomal RNA
Source: RNAcentral
AGUGAACGCUGGCGGCGUGCCUAAUACAUGCAAGUCGAACGGAAAUUAAGUAGCUGGCUAUUUAUUCUUAGUGCCACACGGGUGAGGAAUAUAUAUCUAACUUACCCAUUACUAAGGGACAACAUUUGGAAAGGACUGCUACUACCUUAUACUCCGUAUCUAUAUAAGUAGAGACGGGAAAGUUUUUAGUUAAUGGAUAGGGCUAUAUCGUAUCAGCUAGUUGAUAAGGUAAUGGCUGACCAAGACUAUGACGCGUAACUGGUCUGAGAGGAUGAUCAGUCACACUGGAAGUGAGACACGGUCCAGACUCAUACGGGAGGGAGCAGUAGGGAAUAUUGCUCAAUGGGGGAAAGUCUGAAGGAGCUACGCGGCGUGGAGGAUGACUCUUUUCGGAGAGUAAACGCCUUUUAUUGGGAAAGAAUUAUGACGGUACCCAAGGAAUAAGCACCGGCUAACUCCGUG